UACAGAGGUCCCAAGCGUUGUUCGGAUUCACUGGGCGUAAAGGGUGCGUAGGUGGUGAGGUAAGUCGGAUGUGAAAGCUCGGAGCUCAACUCCGAAAUGGCAUUGGAAACUACCUUGCUCGAGGGUUGGAGGGGGGACUGGAAUGCUUGGUGUAGCAGUGAAAUGCGUAGAUAUCAAGCGGAACACCAGUGGCGAAGGCAGCUUGCUACACAGUUAUUGACGCUGAGGCACGAAAGCGUGGGGAUCAAACAGG
This 253-nucleotide ribosomal RNA is filed under the name uncultured bacterium. RNAcentral's name for it is "partial 16S ribosomal RNA". It matches the Rfam family "Bacterial small subunit ribosomal RNA", at positions 524 to 776 of the family's 1533-position model. The record is from RNAcentral.